CCUACGGGGGGCAGCAGUGAGGAAUAUUGGUCAAUGGACGAGAGUCUGAACCAGCCAAGUAGCGUGAAGGAUGACUGCCCUAUGGGUUGUAAACUUCUUUUAUAUGGGAAUAAAAUGUUCCACGUGUGGGAUUUUGUAUGUACCAUAUGAAUAAGGAUCGGCUAACUCCGUGCCAGCAGCCGCGGUAAUUCGGAGGAUCCGAGCGUUAUCCGGAUUUAUUGGGUUUAAAGGGAGCGUAGGUGGAUUGUUAAGUCAGUUGUGAAAGUUUGCGGCUCAACCGUAAAAUUGCAGUUGAAACUGGCAGUCUUGAGUACAGUAGAGGUGGGCGGAAUUCGUGGUGUAGCGGUGAAAUGCUUAGAUAUCACGAAGAACUCCGAUUGCGAAGGCAGUUCACUGGACUGCAACUGACACUGAAGCUCGAAAGUGUGGGUAUCAAACAGGAUUAGAUACCCCUGUAGUC
This 460-nucleotide ribosomal RNA is filed under the name uncultured bacterium. RNAcentral's name for it is "partial 16S ribosomal RNA". It matches the Rfam family "Bacterial small subunit ribosomal RNA", at positions 338 to 795 of the family's 1533-position model. The record is from RNAcentral.